This 70-nucleotide transfer RNA is filed under the name Marmota monax (woodchuck). Its description in RNAcentral is "tRNA.Ala". Lineage: Eukaryota; Metazoa; Chordata; Mammalia; Rodentia; Sciuridae. The record is from RNAcentral.
GGGGCUGUAGCUCAGUGGCAGAGCGCUGUCUAGCAUGCAUGAGGCACUGGGUUCGAUCCUCAGCACCACA